GAAUGCCACGGUGAAUACGUUCCCGGGCCUUGUACACACCGCCCGUCACACCAUGGGAGUGGGUUGCAAAAGAAGUAGGUAGCUUAACCUUCGGGAGGGCGCUUACCACUUUGUGAUUCAUGACUGGGGUGAAGUCGUAACAAGGUAACCGUAGGGGAACCUGCGGUUGGAUCACCUCCUUA
This 182-nucleotide ribosomal RNA is filed under the name Escherichia coli. RNAcentral describes it as "partial 16S ribosomal RNA". It matches the Rfam family "Bacterial small subunit ribosomal RNA", at positions 1352 to 1533 of the family's 1533-position model. Lineage: Bacteria; Pseudomonadati; Pseudomonadota; Gammaproteobacteria; Enterobacterales; Enterobacteriaceae. The record is from RNAcentral. RNAcentral also lists the same sequence under 3 other names.